UCCUACGGGUGGCUGCAGUAGGGAAUAUUGCACAAUGGGCGAAAGCCUGAUGCAGCAACGCCGCGUGCGCGAUGAAGGCCUUCGGGUCGUAAAGCGCUUUUCUGAGGGACGAGAAAGGACGGUACCUCAGGAAGAAGGUUCGGCUAACUACGUGCCAGCAGCCGCGGUAAAACGUAGGAACCGAGCGUUAUCCGAAUUUACUGGGCGUAAAGCGCGUGCAGGCGGUUUGGUAAGUUAGAUGUGAAAGCUCCUGGCUUAACUAGGAGAGGCCGUUUAAAACUGCCAGGCUAGAGGACGGUAGAGGGGGGUGGAAUUCCCGGUGUAGUGGUGAAAUGCGUAGAUAUCGGGAGGAACACCUGUGGCGAAGGCGGCCCCCUGGGCCGUACCUGACGCUGAUACGCGAAAGCUAGGGGAGCAAACGGGAUUAGAUACCCCAGUAGUCG
Molecule: ribosomal RNA, 443 nt
Filed under: uncultured bacterium
Lineage: Bacteria
Description: bacterial SSU rRNA
Rfam family: Bacterial small subunit ribosomal RNA
Source: RNAcentral